GUCGAGCGGAUGAGAGGAGCUUGCUCCUGGAUUCAGCGGCGGACGGGUGAGUAAUCCUAGGAAUCUGCCUGGUAGUGGGGGACAACGUUUCGAAAGGAACGCUAAUACCGCAUACGUCCUACGGGAGAAAGCAGGGGACCUUCGGGCCUUGCGCUAUCAGAUGAGCCUAGGUCGGAUUAGCUAGUUGGUGAGGUAAUGGCUCACCAAGGCGACGAUCCGUAACUGGUCUGAGAGGAUGAUCAGUCACACUGGAACUGAGACACGGUCCAGACUCCUACGGGAGGCAGCAGUGGGGAAUAUUGGACAAUGGGCGAAAGCCUGAUCCAGCCAUGCCGCGUGUGUGAAGAAGGUCUUCGGAUUGUAAAGCACUUUAAGUUGGGAGGAANGGGUU
Molecule: ribosomal RNA, 391 nt
Filed under: Pseudomonas sp. 15B
Lineage: Bacteria; Pseudomonadati; Pseudomonadota; Gammaproteobacteria; Pseudomonadales; Pseudomonadaceae
Description: bacterial SSU rRNA
Rfam family: Bacterial small subunit ribosomal RNA
Source: RNAcentral